GAAGAGCUGGAGCAGAUCGCCACAUGGUUGGACGAGGAGGGAUCCGCUGCCGACUCCCCCAGGGAGGCUCAGCUGUGUUUGCUGUGGCGAGCCCUCCGGCGCACAAGGAGCCGCCUGAGCAGUGUGACGAGGGAGCAGGACACGCAGCGCUCGCGGCACUUCGCAGAGAUGGCAGAGGUCCGAAAGUCCUUGGAGCAGAUCCGCAUCUUUACGGGGCACAAAGACGCUUUGGCUCGGGAGAUACAAGACGAGAACGACCAGCUCAGGGAUCAGCUGCGGCGGCUAAUAUCCCUUCAAGGUUGGAAAUGUUUACCUGUGCCCCACAUCGCCACAGAACGGCCAGAUAAGCGAGGUGGCUAAAAUGCUGUACCAGCAGGGUCUCACAGACUUGAUUCACAGCAGCCCCAGUGAGCAGGUGGCGUACCUCCUGGUGGAGAGGGCCUCGCUACUCGAGACAAGUGUGGAUCCCGCAAACUGCAGCAGCAGCAGCAACAACAACUCGAUGUGUGCUGGAAACACAACCAGGUCGAUGGGGACGGAGACACAAGCUCCCAACAGCAACGCGGGACAGUCGCCCCACAGAGGGGCACUGCAUCACGGCCCUGGUUCCUGGAGGAGACUCUUUGGGCUCCACAAAGCUUCUCAUAGCAAACCUCAUUUUAUACCUGUAUGUACUCUGAUCUACAGUAAUGUUACUGCAUCCAGUCAAAUAUUAACAAAUACUAAAAAACUGUGUGAAUGUGAUUAA
Molecule: long non-coding RNA, 748 nt
Filed under: Scophthalmus maximus (turbot)
Lineage: Eukaryota; Metazoa; Chordata; Actinopteri; Pleuronectiformes; Scophthalmidae
Description: lncRNA (ENSSMAG00000028554.1)
Source: RNAcentral